AAAUUGAAGAGUUUGAUCAUGGCUCAGAUUGAACGCUGGCGGCAGGCCUAACACAUGCAAGUCGAGCGGUAGCACAGAGAGCUUGCUCUCGGGUGACGAGCGGCGGACGGGUGAGUAAUGUCUGGGAAACUGCCUGAUGGAGGGGGAUAACUACUGGAAACGGUAGCUAAUACCGCAUAAUGUCGCAAGACCAAAGUGGGGGACCUUCGGGCCUCAUGCCAUCAGAUGUGCCCAGAUGGGAUUAGCUAGUAGGUGGGGUAACGGCUCACCUAGGCGACGAUCCCUAGCUGG
This 291-nucleotide ribosomal RNA is filed under the name Klebsiella pneumoniae. Its description in RNAcentral is "partial 16S ribosomal RNA". It matches the Rfam family "Bacterial small subunit ribosomal RNA", at positions 1 to 290 of the family's 1533-position model. RNAcentral also lists the same sequence under 1 other name. Lineage: Bacteria; Pseudomonadati; Pseudomonadota; Gammaproteobacteria; Enterobacterales; Enterobacteriaceae. The record is from RNAcentral.